CUCGUGUCGCCUUGGUAACGGAGGAAAAGAAAAGGAGGGAGUAGGGGAGCCAGAGGGAAGGACAGGAGAGGAGGAGAGGCACCCAGAACAAUCUGCUCACCUCGCCACCGCCGUGUCAGAAACUACUUGGUUGAAAUUAGGCGAGAUUAGCUGCCUCCCGAAGAGACGUCGUCGCGUCUUCAGGUGUGUUGAAUUAAGAGGAACAGGUGGCAAUUUUCAAGUAUUCAUUCACUCCAUCACCAUCAUGUGGCGACUCGCUCUUAUUCGUCUCAGCAUGCGCUGCUGUGACAGUGUGCAUGCAUGUGUGCCAAAUGGCAGCACAGUGCAUUGCAUGGCUAGUGCAAGUCGUAAAAUGUGCACUGACAGCCAGGGUGACCUGCUUCAUGAGGACCAGAUUGCACUAAAAGGAAGCCCGACGGAAGCGGGCAGUUCCAUGUGCACAAAGCCUGCAGGCUGGGACCUCACUUGUCUUUUAUCUGUUAUUUUUAUUAAUAUUUACCAUCUGUCAGCUAAAAGGACUGCUUGAUUCAGCCCAAGCAGCAUGCUUU
Molecule: long non-coding RNA, 548 nt
Organism: Hippocampus comes (tiger tail seahorse)
Lineage: Eukaryota; Metazoa; Chordata; Actinopteri; Syngnathiformes; Syngnathidae
Exons: 2
Source: RefSeq, a predicted model, not a curated record